AAAAAUGUCAUAUAAUCCAGUGACGUAGGUAGAUAAAAUUAUGUAGAAUUAGAAUAAUGUGAUUGAAUAUUCAUUUCAGAUUUCCAUCUGAUACCGAAAAGAGAGGAAUUUGGGCUUCGCUCCUUGGAUUUGAAAGCGUUAAUUUCACUAAGAAGUUAGUAUUUAUUUGUUCGAACCAUUUCAAUCCAGACGAUAUUGAAAUAAGGCCAAAUGGAAAAUUCCUCAAGCCAGAUGUUGUCCCAUUACCUUAUCAUACAACAUUCGAGAUUUCAAAUGAAAGUUCAGACACAGUAUCCGAACAAGAAGAUAGUCGUAUCAGCCCAACUACAGAGACAAUGUUGUUUGGAGUGGCAAGUAACCAGUUUGAUGUUGAAGCUCUGUCUAAAAGCUCAUCAUCAUCUUGAGCAACUCUUACUGCUUCAUCUUCAGUUACUCUUACAGCCUCAGAGUGUGAAAACGAACUUUCUAAGACAAUUUUUGUUGAACCAUCAUCCCAAAAUGUUCCAAGAAAAAAAAGAAAGAGGAGCUAUUUUGGCGAUUUGUCGAGCAGUGAUUUCUCGACACCAGAGAAGCGAAGGAAAAGUUUUCACGGUAUAAAGAAAAUUGUCAGAAAACAAAAAGUGAGAAUACAUUCUCUUCAAAAUAAGGUCCGUCGUCAAAGGCUUCGAAUAACAUCAUUGAAAAGUUUGGUGUCAUUUUUGAAUGAAAAGUUUCGUUUAUCAGAGGAAUCAGAACACACAUUAUUGGCAUCAAUCCCCAAAACAGCUGGAGAUUUGUUUAAGAGAAUGUUGCGAGGCCCCACAAGGCAAAAAUAUGAACCAAGCUUGCGAUCAUUUGCAUUGACUUUGGCAUUUUAUUCACCGAAGGCAUAUAACUAUGUUAGAAAAACCUUCAAUGACAGUUUACCACAUUUGGGAACAAUAUCCAAAUGGUAUCGAUCAGUUGAUGGUACUCCUGGUUUUACCAAAGGGUACAUAUGUUCCAUUAUGAUGCAUUGAUUAUUCAAAUAUCAUUUCAAAAGUAUUGUAAGAAGUUUUUAGUUUGUUCAUUUUUGAUUGGCUAUCUAUUCUUGAUUCUGGUUAUAGGUUAGUGUAAUGUUAUGAUUUUGUAUUCAUUGAAUGAAAACUUGUUAUACUGAAACAUUAAUCGAGAAAAGUCAAUAGAACAAAACAAUAUCAGAAUUAUAUGUAGGUAUAUUAAAAUUUAACUCUGUUUUAGUUCAAAAUAACAACUAGCUGUGAAUUGUUUUUUUUUGUCAGGUGUUAAGGAAUGAAAUCUUGUCAAAAACUGUAGGCCCUGAUACCAUAAUAUGUAAUUGAUUGUUUCUUGAAAAAAUAAAUCAUUUGUUUGGGAGCUGUAGGUAUCUAGUCAAGCAUCAGCAUACGAUUAAAUAUCUCAGAUAUACUAAACUCAAUUAAAUAUGCCAUAUCUGUAUCUACCAUUUGUAUUAUUUGUAUUUUACAAUAAAUUGCUUGAUGACAUCAAAAGAUUAAAUGAACAAAGUUUCGAUAAAAAAGUAAAGGAAUUAUUGCUGCAGAACACAAUAUACAGCCUAAAAGAGUUUUAAAAUGUUUGUGUAUGUAAUUUGUUUUUUAAACCUGAUUGAAUUUUUAUGACAAACCGUGAAAAUUAUUGACUGAAUAUUUAUAGUGUACAAUGUGAUGUAGUACAUAUGUAAAUAAAUAUUAUUAUUAUGAAGUUUUGUUACUUCAAGGCUAUGAAU
This is an RNA transcript of Harmonia axyridis, 1723 nucleotides long. RefSeq lists it as uncharacterized. NCBI's taxonomy places the organism in Eukaryota, Metazoa, Arthropoda, Insecta, Coleoptera, Coccinellidae. The transcript has 5 exons. The record is from RefSeq and is a predicted model, not a curated record.